GUGGCUCAGUGGUAGAGUGCUUGCCUUGCAUGCAUGAGGCCCUGGGUUCGAUUCCUGAACACCACA
Non-coding RNA from Dipodomys ordii (Ord's kangaroo rat), 66 nucleotides. The record is from Rfam. Lineage: Eukaryota; Metazoa; Chordata; Mammalia; Rodentia; Heteromyidae.